GGCACUUUGGCGGAGUGGUUAACGCGAUGCCCUGCUAGUUUUAGUAGGAAGGCAUUCCCUUCGGGGGCGUGUGUUCGAAUCACACAGGUGUCG
Non-coding RNA from Diatrype stigma, 93 nucleotides. Lineage: Eukaryota; Fungi; Ascomycota; Sordariomycetes; Xylariales; Diatrypaceae. The record is from the annotation of a GenBank genome assembly.